Molecule: ribosomal RNA, 474 nt
Filed under: uncultured bacterium
Lineage: Bacteria
Description: bacterial SSU rRNA
Rfam family: Bacterial small subunit ribosomal RNA
Source: RNAcentral
GACGAACGCUGGCGGCGUGCUUAACACAUGCAAGUCGAACGAUGAACCAGAGCUUGCUCUGGGAAUUAGUGGCGAACGGGUGAGUAACACGUGGGCAACCUGCCCCAGACACCGGGAUAACCAUUCGAAAGGAUGGCUAAUACCGGAUAUGACCACUUCGGGCAUCCGACGGUGGUGGAAAGGAUUCUGGUCUGGGAUGGGCCCGCGGCCUAUCAGCUUGUUGGUGGGGUAAUGGCCUACCAAGGCGACGACGGGUAGCCGGCCUGAGAGGGCGACCGGCCACACUGGGACUGAGACACGGCCCAGACUCCUACGGGAGGCAGCAGUGGGGAAUAUUGCGCAAUGGGCGAAAGCCUGACGCAGCGACGCCGCGUGAGGGACGAAGGGUCUUCGGAUUGUAAACCUCUUUCAGCAGGGACGAAGCGAAAGUGACUGUACCUGCAGAAGAAGCACCGGCUAACUACGUGCCAGCAG